AGGUGGCACUUAGCAAAUCAUUUUUAAAGUGAUUUGAGUGGAAGAAGGAUGAUGGUCAGAGUCUAAAAGGGACCUGAAUCGAAAAGCUACCUCAAUCUGCCCUUGAUGUGGUCGCAGUGCAUGAAUAUCUGAUUUAAAGUAAGGAUAAAGAGCAAAAGAUACUAAAUGCCACUACAUCAUGAUGAUCUUGCCUGGAUGGGAAAUGAAACUUCUGCUAGAAAACAGCCAAGCUCCAAGAAACAAACAAUUGAACUCUGUGACCCAUAUAUUGUCUACUUGAAAGAUGUGGCUAUCACUAUGUUAGAGCAUUACAGGAUAUAAAUAAUAUUGAAGUUGGCAAACAUG
This is a long non-coding RNA of Pantherophis guttatus, 345 nucleotides long. RefSeq lists it as uncharacterized. NCBI's taxonomy places the organism in Eukaryota, Metazoa, Chordata, Lepidosauria, Squamata, Colubridae. The record is from RefSeq and is a predicted model, not a curated record.